CCUACGGGAGGCAGCAGUGGGGAAUAUUGGACAAUGGGCGGAAGCCUGAUCCAGCCAUGCCGCGUGUGUGAAGAAGGCCUUAUGGUUGUAAAGCACUUUAAGCGAGGAGGAGGCUACUCUAGAUAAUACCUAGAGAUAGUGGACGUUACUCGCAGAAUAAGCACCGGCUAACUCUGUGCCAGCAGCCGCGGUAAU
This 195-nucleotide ribosomal RNA is filed under the name uncultured bacterium. Its description in RNAcentral is "partial 16S ribosomal RNA". It matches the Rfam family "Bacterial small subunit ribosomal RNA", at positions 338 to 524 of the family's 1533-position model. The record is from RNAcentral.